Long non-coding RNA from Coregonus clupeaformis (lake whitefish), 584 nucleotides. RefSeq lists it as uncharacterized. Lineage: Eukaryota; Metazoa; Chordata; Actinopteri; Salmoniformes; Salmonidae. The transcript is spliced from 3 exons. The record is from RefSeq and is a predicted model, not a curated record.
UGCUGUUAGCUGGAGCCAGCCACCAGGAUUGGUCCAAACCCAACAUCAUUACCAGAUAUCCUACCACUGUUCAGGGACAGAACCACACAUCACUACCACAUCUUCAGACAGCAUCACUCUCUCUGACCUGCAAGGUGGUACUCAGUACUCUGUCACUGUCUGCACUGUGCUGGAAAAUGGAAAGCAAAGUCAGCUGGUGUCAACAACCCUCACCACAGUACUUCCUGCUCCAGACCUGCUGAAUGUUGACUCAGUGAACACCACAUCAGCUGCUGUUAGAUGGAGCAAGCCACCAGGAUUGGACCAAACACAACAUCGUUACCAGAUCUCCUACCACUGUCCAGGGAUAAAACCACACAUCGCUACCACGUCCUCACACAGCAUCACUCUCUCUGACCUGCAAGGUGGUACUCAGUACACUGUCUCUGUCUGCUCUGUGCUGAAAAAUGGAAAGCAAAGUAAACUGGUAUCAACAACCCUCACCACAGUACUGCCUGCUCCAGACCAGAUUAAUGUUGACUCAGUGAAGACCACAUCAGCUGCUGUUAGCUGGAGCCAGCCACGAGGAUUGGACCAAACCCAAC